This 551-nucleotide ribosomal RNA is filed under the name uncultured bacterium. Its description in RNAcentral is "bacterial SSU rRNA". It matches the Rfam family "Bacterial small subunit ribosomal RNA", at positions 773 to 1328 of the family's 1533-position model. The record is from RNAcentral.
CAGGAUUAGAUACCCUGGUAGUCCACACUGUAAACGAUGAUAACUCGCUGCCGGCGAUAUACAGUCAGUGGCAGAGCGAAAGCAUUAAGUUAUCCACCUGGGGAGUACGCCGGCAACGGUGAAACUCAAAGGAAUUGACGGGGGCCCGCACAAGCGGAGGAACAUGUGGUUUAAUUCGAUGAUACGCGAGGAACCUUACCCGGGCUUGAAUUGCAGAGGAAUGUCGUGGAAACAUGGCAGCUAGUAAUAGUCUCUGUGAAGGUGCUGCAUGGUUGUCGUCAGCUCGUGCCGUGAGGUGUCGGCUUAAGUGCCAUAACGAGCGCAACCCUCAUAUUCAGUUACUAACAGGUUAAGCUGAGGACUCUGGAUAGACUGCCGUCGUAAGAUGUGAGGAAGGUGGGGAUGACGUCAAAUCAGCACGGCCCUUACGUCCGGGGCGACACACGUGUUACAAUGGGGGGUACAGAAGGUUGCUACACAGCGAUGUGAUGCUAAUCCCAAAAGCCUCUCUCAGUUCGGAUCGAAGUCUGCAACCCGACUUCGUGAAGCUG